Non-coding RNA from Cicer arietinum (chickpea), 420 nucleotides. The record is from RefSeq and is a predicted model, not a curated record. Lineage: Eukaryota; Viridiplantae; Streptophyta; Magnoliopsida; Fabales; Fabaceae.
CAGUAGGAAAGUGAAGGUUGUUGCGUUACUUCAUUCUUGCCGAACAAAUGUUCCGUGGAAGGGUGGUGGGUGCAUUUAUCAUUUGUUUGGGCUUGUACCUUGUUGUGUGGGGAAAAAGCAAAGAUUACAACAGCCCAUCAAAAUCAAAUAUUGAAGAGCCUGUUUUACCGAAUUAGCAAUCUGCAACUGAAAAUUGUACCUACGAGAUCAUCACAAUUCAAUAAUUUUGGAAUUAUUAUAACUCUAUGAUCAACAAGAGGGUGGAGUUCAAAUUAUUGUUAUAUUGUAAUUGUAAUGUCAAUUUUCAAAUUCAAUAUUAUGGGACAUUUUCAGAGAGACUCUGCACCUUCUAUGUGUCAAUACUUUUGUAAAGAUAUUUUAAGAUUUCAAUGUGGCACAACAAAAUAGUGAAUUUUCAUU